This 400-nucleotide ribosomal RNA is filed under the name uncultured bacterium. Its description in RNAcentral is "bacterial SSU rRNA". It matches the Rfam family "Bacterial small subunit ribosomal RNA", at positions 355 to 747 of the family's 1533-position model. The record is from RNAcentral.
UGGGGAAUAUUGGACAAUGGGCGCAAGCCUGAUCCAGCAAUACCGCGUGUGUGAAGAAGGCCUGAGGGUUGUAAAGCACUUUCAGCGAGGAGGAAGUGAACAUGGUUAAUACCCAUGUUCAUUGACGUUACUCGCAGAAGAAGCACCGGCUAACUCUGUGCCAGCAGCCGCGGUAAUACAGAGGGUGCAAGCGUUAAUCGGAAUUACUGGGCGUAAAGCGUGCGUAGGCGGAUAUUUAAGUCAGAUGUGAAAUCCCUGGGCUUAACCUAGGAAUUGCAUCUGAUACUGGAUGUCUAGAGUAUGGUAGAGGAUGGCGGAAUUUCCGGUGUAGCGGUGAAAUGCGUAGAUAUCGGAAGGAACACCAGUGGCGAAGGCGGCCAUCUGGGCCAAUACUGACGCU